UCUCUGAGCCCAGCAGUGGCCAGCAGUGAUAGGGCCGGGAAUUCUGGUGGGAGAACCCUGCUGACCUUAGCACUGGUGGGGGAGUAGGUAGCCCCCAGUAAGGAGGAGCCCUGCUCUGUGACAGAGCUCUGUGCCACCAUCAGCACAGCGUCAGAGACCCGGCCCCAGGCAGGCGGCCUUGGACAUGAUCACAAGUCCAUGUUCUAGGAAUUACACAGCAGAGAGAAGCCUUGGUCUCACAGAGCAAGUCUGAGUUCUGGCCGUAGUAACCAGGAAACAAAUCACAGGACUGGCUCUUACAGAUAGAAGAAAGAGUGGCCUCUGUUCUUCUGUUGGACAUUGUCACAAAUGGAUGAGAUACCUGGAACUGCUGCAGCCAAUUUAUGACCAUGAGGGGAGUCAGCCUGAAAAGGAAGCCAGCCAUUGGAAGAAGACAGAGCCAGGAGAAUUGCAGCAUGAGGAGCCAGAGCCCCGACAUGCGGAGCUGUCUGCUUGUGACUGCUCACUUCAGAGAUGGAUUUCCUUACCCCUGGAAACUCUUGAGUCAAGGCUUUCUGUAACUUGUAGCCAAAACAUCCUAACUCAAUCAAAGAACAAAAUGAUGGCUGCAGCAGAGGCUAUCUUGCAACUCGGAGGUGGCCUUGAAGAGAGAAGCAGCACAAACCCUCUUGAUCCUGCAGGAGGUCGUGUGUUUGCUCUUGAUGUCUUCUGCCCAGGCCCCUGCCCACACGGUGAGGAGUACCUCCUUCUAGACCACUUUGCAGAUCGUCAGGACCCCAGAAUUUCUGCCUAAAGGCCCCCAGCCCAUUCCCAGGGCUGUGUGCCUCCUUCCCUGGCUCUGUCCUCCCAAGAGUGGCCCAUGUUACCAGCGUGCGCUAGGUCCAGGGAUGGUCAGGGAAGGCCUCCCUGAGGAAGCAAUAGUUGAGCAGAGACCUGAAUAAAGUGACGGAGCAAGCGAUAUGAGAAUCUCAGCCACAGGAACCUCAAACACAAAGGACUUAGCUGAGAAAAGAUGGGUUGUGUUUCAGGAAGCUCUGGGGCCUGCCCGCGACCCCACCCCGGCUGGUACUGACUGUAGCAUUCACCUCAGAACCUGCUCCUCCCAAGCCUUACCAAAGCCAUCCAUGCCAUUGGGGCAAACUUCCCGCUGGAAUUCCACUUCUUAAAAAUAACCAACUCUGGGUGGAGAACACACAACGCAUUAUAUAGAUGAUGUAUGAUAGAAAUGUACACUUGAAACCUAUAUAAUUGUCUAUUAUUGUCUAUAAUUGACUAACCAAUG
Long non-coding RNA from Rhinolophus ferrumequinum (greater horseshoe bat), 1282 nucleotides. RefSeq lists it as uncharacterized. The record is from RefSeq and is a predicted model, not a curated record. Lineage: Eukaryota; Metazoa; Chordata; Mammalia; Chiroptera; Rhinolophidae. The transcript is spliced from 3 exons.